AAGUGGAAGUGAAAUCGGAGGAAAAGGUGGUCGCAGAUGACGGGUCUUCUUCUCUUGUGUCGAAAUCAAUGGCGGAGGAGGAAGAGAAGUUACUUAAAGCUCGUGCUAAGGAAGAAGAUGAACCGUGUGAGGAGGCGCCCAAUCUUAAUAAUACACAGUUUAAUAAGUUGGAUGAACUUUUAACACAAACUAAACUCUACUCAACUCAGAGUUUCUUUUGGAGAAAAUGGAUGAUAUUACAAUG
This 244-nucleotide long non-coding RNA is filed under the name Trifolium pratense (red clover). RNAcentral's name for it is "long non-coding RNA (TPRA_LNC002512)". Lineage: Eukaryota; Viridiplantae; Streptophyta; Magnoliopsida; Fabales; Fabaceae. The record is from RNAcentral.